Molecule: transfer RNA, 76 nt
Filed under: Rubrivivax sp.
Lineage: Bacteria; Pseudomonadati; Pseudomonadota; Betaproteobacteria; Burkholderiales; Sphaerotilaceae
Description: tRNA-Thr
Rfam family: tRNA
About the family: Transfer RNA (tRNA) molecules are approximately 80 nucleotides in length. Their secondary structure includes four short double-helical elements and three loops (D, anti-codon, and T loops).
Source: RNAcentral
GCCGGUGUAGCUCAGUUGGUAGAGCAGCUCAUUCGUAAUGAGAAGGUCGAGGGUUCAAUUCCUUUCACCGGCACCA